GACGAAGGAUGCAAGCGUUAUCCGGAUUCAUUGGGUUUAAAGGGUGCGUAGGCGGACUUGUAAGUCAGUGGUGAAAUCUCUUUGCUUAACAAAGAAACUGCCAUUGAUACUGCAGGCCUAGAGUAUAGAUGACGUUGGCGGAAUAUGACAUGUAGUGGUGAAAUACUUAGAUAUGUCAUAGAACACCGAUUGCGAAGGCAGCUAACGAAACUAUAACUGACGCUGAGGCACGAAAGUGCGGGGAUCAAACAGG
This 253-nucleotide ribosomal RNA is filed under the name uncultured bacterium. RNAcentral's name for it is "partial 16S ribosomal RNA". It matches the Rfam family "Bacterial small subunit ribosomal RNA", at positions 524 to 776 of the family's 1533-position model. The record is from RNAcentral.